CCACUGUUCACACGGACUGAGUCUCCCCUGAAUUUGCACGGCGUCGCACAAGUACAAAAGUACAAACAGGAUACAACCACUCCCACUGAACAUACAAAUAACCAUACAUUCAUAUAUCCAUACACCAUUCACCAUAGGUUCAUAUACGGAGAUUUGCACAUAAAUCCACAACUAUCAGUUGAAAUGUCUCCUACCCGGAAACAUGUUUUGAAAAACUAAGUUAUGAAAGCAACGAGAAAACUUUUUCAAAACCGUUUCCCACAUGGAAACCCUUUUUAUUAAAACACGCUACCACGAGGGGUAGAAAACCAUUUCCAGUUUACAAAAUCAUAAAUCUUUUAUUACGAAAUCCCGAUUAUUCAAAUGUAAUAACAAAACUGAACCAAUAACUAUCUAAGUCAAAUACUCAGAAAUAACAAAAGUAGCAACUAAACUAAACAAACCGGAUCGGAAGCUCUAUCGACCGCUAUGAAUGUGUCUCACGUAUCGUCUCAACCCCCACCGCCCGCCAUACCUGAAAAAAU
This 524-nucleotide long non-coding RNA is filed under the name Ananas comosus (pineapple). RNAcentral's name for it is "long non-coding RNA (ACOM_LNC029298)". The record is from RNAcentral. Lineage: Eukaryota; Viridiplantae; Streptophyta; Magnoliopsida; Poales; Bromeliaceae.